GUCCGUCUCUUGUGUCAUUAACCAGAUUAUGUUCAGCUGUGUACUCACCGGUCUCUCAUUACCAUCCUCAUCUGUCAGCAUAUUUAAGUCCUCUGUUUCCUUCUGUUCACUGUCGCGUCAUUGAUGUUGUUACUGCUGGUCCCGUGUGUUCAGUUCUGUUCAGUCACUUCGGUUCAGCCAGCCAUUUCAUUAAAUACCAUUAUCCUGCACCGUGAGUCCAGCGUUUGGGUCCUCUUCUCAUUCACACGCGAAACCCUGACAACAAGUCCAAGGACAUGGGAUCAUCCAACUCUGAGCACGAAAACUUACUGGAGGAAUUUUAAGCCCGACAAGAUAAAUUCACAAACAAGUUUGCUCACUUUCAGUGAGAUAUCCAAGAGAAAAAGAACAAUUGACCCAUCGAGUGAAAUAAGAAUUUCUUCUCCAAGCAGAACAUGGUGUAGAGAAACCCGUGUUGGCUAUCACAGUGGUGAGGCAUUUCUUGUAGUUGGUUUCUUGGCUGCUGUUUGGCAUCUCAAUGGUUCAGCUCCCUCCACAGAUUUUCUACAGCACUGAGGUCGGGAGACUGGCUACUUCAUGACCUAAAAGUGUUUCUCCUUAACCAAGCCUUUAUUGUCAUUAUGUUUUUGGUCUACCUCAGUCAGGAGUUCGACGCAAGAGAUCUUGCAUCGAACUCCUGACUGAGGGUGACUGAUGUCUGUUACCACCACGUCACAAUGUGCAUAAAGUUAAACGAUUCAAACUAAUAAAACACAUUUUAAAAAGACUUUUUCAUUUGAUUACAUUUUAUAUGAUGGAUUAUGCAUAAAAGCCCUGGCUCCGACAGUCUUGGUCAUUGUGUCCUUGGGCAAGACACUUCAGCCGUUGCCUACUGGUAGUGGUCAGAGGAUCCAGUGGCGCC
Long non-coding RNA from Oreochromis aureus, 901 nucleotides. Lineage: Eukaryota; Metazoa; Chordata; Actinopteri; Cichliformes; Cichlidae. The record is from Ensembl.